This is a long non-coding RNA of Eutrema salsugineum, 1089 nucleotides long. RefSeq lists it as uncharacterized. The record is from RefSeq and is a predicted model, not a curated record. The transcript is spliced from 3 exons. Lineage: Eukaryota; Viridiplantae; Streptophyta; Magnoliopsida; Brassicales; Brassicaceae.
UUAGCCGCCACAUGUCGAGUUGUGAUUGGUUUGUGAAAUCACCACCCAACUUUUUUUUUCUCUUUUCUCUUUCUUCCUCGACGAAACCUCUUCCUUCUCCCUAUCGCUUUCACCGUCGUCUUCACCGAUACUCGCCGUUUCCGAUCAAAGAUUGAAUUCUAUCAAUGGAUCCAGCCGUCAUAUCCAACCCGAAUAGAAACUAAACCCGGUCCGUACGCCUAGUUCCGGAUCUUUUCUUCCUCGAGCAACAGUGGACCGAGUCCGAGUCUUUUGGUAAGAGAGAAGAGAGAAGGCGGCUUCGUUCACCACGCCGUCAAGCUGUCUCAGGGCACCCUACUCCGUUCACCUCGCCGCUUUGGCUCGUCGAGUUCCCGAAGAAUUGUGGGCAAUGAAAUUGGGAUUGAGACUAUUGUAAGAGAGAUCUAAUGGAGAUUCUUUCUGGUGGCCAUACAUUAGCAAUUUCCUGGAAACUUAUUCCGUUCCAAUAUUCUUUCCCGGAGAAGAUAUAAAGAAUUUGCAAUAUGCUCCUCUUCUCCACCAGAUUAGAUAGACAAAACUGCUGAACCUAAUCGAGUUUGAGUCUCACUCUUUAGCAAUUCCAUUAGAUGAUUUGCGGCUUUGUUGCCUUCUUUGGGACCAGGUCAAUAAAAGAUUCCCUUUUGCUUCCUGAGUUUGAGCAAGAGAUUAGGAGUACUCUUGAAGAUGUUAAGGCCAGUGAUCAUCCUUUCAGCGGCCAAGAUGUAAAUGCAUCCGCCCUCGGGUCGACCAUGUCAGCUGUUUCGACUAGAGCUUUUCACUUACAUGGUGAUAAAAGCUUCAAGGUGGAUCUUCUGAUGAUGUUCCCAUGAUGCUUCCUCUGAUAGAUAUGUGCAACCACAGCUUCAAACCAAAUGCACGGAUCAUUCAAGAACAGAACGGAGCUGACUCGAACACCCUAGUUAAGGUUGUUGCAGAGACUGAAGUAAAAGAAAACAAUCCCUUAUUUCUCAAUUAUGUUCUGUUAAGUUUGGUUGUUUUCAAAUAUAAAAAUGUUGUAAAAAAACUUCUUUUAUAUAAAUUUUUUUUUAAAAAAAAAAAUUCCAUUUGAGU